RNAcentral lists this long non-coding RNA (11058 nucleotides) under Solanum tuberosum (potato). RNAcentral's name for it is "long non-coding RNA (STUB_LNC007556)". The record is from RNAcentral. Lineage: Eukaryota; Viridiplantae; Streptophyta; Magnoliopsida; Solanales; Solanaceae.
UUGGAUCACUAGCAAAGGAGACACCACCUAGAAGAUUUGGAGAGCCCUAGUUUGCUACUUCUUAUUACGACUGUGCGACCAGAGAACCAUAUCUAGAUAGAUAUGAUAUAGCUUGUGCUUUGUCUUAGUUUAGAUAUUUUCUCUCUUUAUGAACUAUGGAUUAGCUAGAACCUUCUUUUGGAGUUCUUUUGUGUUUCUUGUAAGUUUGGUUUCAUAGAUACAUAUGAUGCUGGCUCGUAUUGUUCUAUACUUAGUAAGUACUCUACUUCUCAGGUAUCACUCUAUGAUAAGUUCACGAGCUUUUUACUUUUAAGAGAUCUAUGGUGUCUGCUGGUGUCUAGUUAUCACUUUGUGUGGGUUAGUGGGCUUAGCUUGGUCGUGCUCAAUCAUAGUUGUGGAUAUUUUAAGUUAUUUCCUUUUGUGCCACUUAAGUUUAUCAGAAAUGUGUGCUGAGCCAGAUCCCUGAAAGAAUUUGAUGAAGCCAUUUACCUAAAACAGUAGAUUGUUGGUCUGACUGUUACUUUGUUUUAGAACCUGUUUAUAUUGAUUUAUUUUAAGGCUCUUAAGCUAGCUCUCAAGUACUUCUUGAGUAAAUUUAAGAAGUGCUUAUAAGCUAGGUUGCACGGACUCUUCAAAAAUGUCAAUGUCAACAUGUACGUGCCAGAUACUCCAAAAGUAGUGCAUUUUGUUGAAUUUGACACGGGUGCGGCAAGAAUUUUGGAGAGUCCAAGCAACAUAGCAUAAGCACUUGGUUUAAGCUAAAAUGCUAAAAAUAAAUGAAAAGCCAUAAGUCAGAAUUUCUUAUGACUUUUGGCUUAAAAGUAAUAAACGAAAAGCAAUCCAAUCAGGCUUAGUUUUGAAAGGAUCUGCAUGUCUCGUUUCAACCAUUCAUAGCUUAGGGUGCCUGCAUCUUAUAUCUUAUUAGAAGUGGGAGUGGAGGGGUGCGCGUACAGCUUACUGGUUUGUGCAGGAACAACAGUCCUAUAGUACUUACUUUCUUUUUGUAUUUUCUUUAUCUUUAUUCCGUCACUUAAAUUAUUUUCUUUUGGUAAUCAAGAUCUAAUUUUUUUAUAAUCUUUGUAAAUGGCUGUAAUUCAUAUUUUAAUUUGUGUUGAAUAUGUUGAUGAUGUACCUGUAAUUCAGCUCAUGUUCUUUAUAUUAUCAUUUAAAAUGUGAAGAUGUAUUUAAAUUGUGUUGAUUUGUUUUUGGAAGUACUUUUACCUUUCAAAGUCUCAAAUACAAUCUGGGGCUAAUUAGCAUUGUAGCUGUUUUAGUUGGUCUUUUAUCAUCACUGAUAUUAGGCGUUUGAUGGAAUUACAAGUUAAUUAGUUGGUGUGAUCUAUGUAGGUGUGUCUUUUUGCCCCAAGAAUACUGGUAACACGAUUCCAUCUUCGGCUCAAAUUGUAUAAUAGUAAUUUAUUUCAAUUUCCAAUUAUUUUUUUACUUUUAGUUUGGCGCACUAGGAGGAUCAAGGAUCUUUAAAUGGAAAAGAGGGAGAAUAGAUGCUCAUGAAGUGGUUGAGGGACACACUGAUUGAGGAAGAGUUCACGAGUCAAUUUCAGUACUGAGGGCAUCACUAGCACUUACUUCAUAUUCGAUGCUAGGAGGUGGAUGAACUCGGUGUCUUGGAGGAUCCAUCCAUCGGAAAACCUCAGUGAUGUGACCUACCCUCGAUCUUUGGUGGUAUCCUACACCAUACGAGGCAUUAACGAGUCGGAGUGAAAGGACUUCUAUUAGAGCAACAAAAAUCUCCCUUUUCUCCCGGGUAUGGUGUCGACACUAUGCGGGCGAGUUGGGGUACCCACUUGGAGAUUGACAUAGAUGCUCCUUUUAAAUCCUCUCUCCGGGUGAAGAUGGUUGGCUCUAAAGGAAGAAGUGGAGGAAAAUGAACUAAGUAGAGAGUAAAAUGAUUAUGGUGAGCCACCGAUCACUGGCGGUUGCUCGGUGGAUGACUUGGCUGCAGUCAUGAGAUUCAUGGAGGCUACCCUGCUGGAGCCACAACCCACCUCCCUUUAUCUCCCUCAGUGUAUUUUGUAUUUUUCCCUAUAUCCCUCUUUAUAUUUUGUAUUUUAUAUUUUUAUCAAUCCACUUUGUAUUUUGUAUUUUUACCUCUUCUUUAUUGUAUUUUAUAUUUUCACCUCCCUUUCUUUAUGUAUUUUGUAUUUUUACCUCUCUUUGUAUUUACUUAUUUUUUAGGAAUCAUGUGAAUGUAUUUGUUGUAUUCAUGCGUGCAUUUAGGUUGUAUACUAUGCUUACACCUCUCUCCCUCUUGUAUAUAUCACUUGUAUUCAAUUUACUUAUUUUUUAGGAAUCAUGCGAAUGUAUUUGUUGUAUUCAUGCAUGCAUUUAGGUUGUAUACUAUGCUUCCACCUCUCUCCCUCUGGUAUAUAUCACUUGUAUUCAUUCACUCUUGUAUCAUUUGUAUUUAAUCUCUUUAGUAUCACUUGUAUUCAAUUUUUUUGUACCACUUAUAUUUAUUCGUUCUUGUAUAAUUUGUAAUCAUUCGCUCUUGUAUCACUUGCGUUCAUUUAUUCUUGUAUUAAAAAUGUGUAUCAAAAAGACGAAGGAAAAAAAAAGACUUAAAAGGGAGAAAAUAUAUAAUCACACAGCGCAGAAUAUGCAACAUAAAGAGAUGGAGAGAGAGAGAAUAUACAAUUGAUAUAAAUACAAAACUAAAUACAAGAAAAAAGGCUAGAGAGAAGGGAAAAGAGAGCAAAGAUAUAUAAUUGAGACAAACACACAAAAUAAAAUACAAGAAAAAAGGCUAUAGAAAGAGAAAAAAAGAGAGCAAAUAUAUAGUUGAUACUUGGUACAUUCCAACAAACAAAGCAAAAUAUAUGAAAAAACUACAAAUAGAAGAAAGUGAGAAGAAAAAGGAGAGAAAGAAAAAUAUACCAUUAAUACAAACACACAAAAAAUACAAAAAAAACACUUUGUAUAGAGAAAGGGAGAGCAAAAAAGAUAGAGUAAAUAUACAAUUGUUAGAAAUACACAAAGCAAAAUAUAUGAAAAAACUAAAAAAGGCAAUGAGAGAAGGAGAUUUUUUCCCCCGAUUUCUAUAUAGUUUGAUUAUUUUUUAUUUUUUAAAACGUCAUCUAACGUCCGUCACAAUCGAUAAAGUUUGAUAUAACUACAUAUCCAAAAAUCUCAAUAACAUAAAAUAUUCUUUUUGGAUUUAUAAUAUCAAAUGAAAUAUGCCUAUUAUUUUUAUUAUAAUCACAUGAUUUACUAGGUGUUAUUAUGAAAAGGCUGCUAAAAUUGUAUUAGAUUUAAAUUGAAAUCUUUAAUUGAGUUUGUUGAUUAAGUUUGUCUAUUUUAGCAUCCUUUGAUAACAAGAUAGUUUGUUCUAGUUGUAUAUGAUCACCAUUCUAUCAAGCAAGUGUUUUAUUUCAUGUAAUUCAGCAUAGAGAUUUCAAGUAGUCUACAACUAACACUAUGAAUUGAACAUGACUUUUGCUGCUAUGCUAAAACGUAAAGUUUAGAUAAUCAUAAAAACUAAAUCAGUGUUGAGUAUUUAUGUUGUCAAUGUUGAAUUUGAUAUUAAAUUUCGUUUAAAUAAAAUUCACCUCAAGGCCAAAGUAUAUAUAUAUAUAUAUAUAUAUAUUCGGUUCAAGAAUUUUUUGAUAUUUCUAUAAAAUAAAUUGUUCAUCUUAAUUAUUUAAAUUUAUAUUGUAACCUUCAAUUUUAUUUUUAAAAAUAUAAAAAUCGAUUUAGAAGGUGUUAGGAUUGUCUUAAAAGUUGGUCCAACCUACUUUUAAGUCAGUUUUUGAUUUCUGAAAGUGUUUGGUAAACAUAAAAAAUAACUUAAAAUAAGUAAAAAAAUGACUUAAAAUAAAUUAUGAAGUGUUUGUCAAUGUAAAAAUGACGUUUAAAAUAAGUCAAAAACUAAAAAUAGAUCUCCCCUACUUUUUAUUUUUGACUUAAAAAAACUACUUUUAAAGCCAAUUCAAACUCUCAGUUCAAUCAUUUUUAAAUAAAUAAAAAAUCAUUGACACUAUAAUAAAAAUUAAAUGAAACCACUAAAAUAUGUAGCACAGUGAAUGUGUCUUCUCGUUCAUUAAUCAGAAAUUUCGAUUUCAAACCAAUCAGGCAAAAUUUAAAUUGAUAUCGACCCCUAAAUAUGAAAAAAUUCUUAAUCAAAAGUAGAGCCGUCAAAACGGACUUAGCCCAUGGGGCUGACCCAAUCCAAACCGUUAUUGGGAUAGGGUUGAGAUAGGAUUUGUCAAGCCCAUUUAAAACUAGGACUUAUAAGUCCGACCCAUAUAAGCCCUUUGUCCUUGAGGCUUGAUCGGGGCCAGGUCGGGGUCGGCCCAUUGGACAAAACUUUUUAUUUAAGGGUAACUUACAAUAAUCUCACUAAUAUAUAAUCUAAUUACUUAAACGGUUGUUUGGUUAUUGGUUAGAGUUAUUAAGGUAUUAGUUAUGCAUGAUUUAGUUAUGCAAGUAUUAGUUAUGCAUGAUUUAGUUAUGCGGGUAUUAGCUAUGGAGAUAUUAGUUAUGUAGGUAUUAUUUAGUUAUUUAGAGAUUACAAUACAUGAAUUAUUAACUAUUGAAUAUUAAACUUGUUGUAAAUUAUUAAUAUAUAUUAUUUACAAAAUAAUACAUGCUAAUAGAAUGCAAAAUAUAUUGAAUAAUAUAUAAUGCUAAUAUUUGAUUAGCAUAUGUACCGUAAAAAAAUAUACAAUCAAAUUUCUAAUAUUAAAAAAAUAUUUAUAUUUGCAUAAAUAAAUAAAAACUGUAAGUAUAUAAAAGGGAAAAGGGUCUGGAAAAUACUCCAACUUUGGCCGAAAUUGUUGUUAUGAUACCAAACUUUAUGGAGGACCUUUUACCCUCUUGCACUAUUUAAUAGUGUAUUUUAAAGGUAUAUAUGUGCCCACGUGGACACAUUACUAUUUAUAAUGAUGCAAUAUUUAUGAUGUCCACAUGGACACAUAUUGUCACGACCCGAUUUCUCGAGUCAUAAUGGCACCUACUAUGCCCUACCAGUAGGUAAACCAACUCGUAACCCAGAACAUCAAGCAAUGAGUGAAAGAGCAGAAACUAGCAAAAACAAUAAUCUAAACAAGGACAACAAGGCGGAAGCAAACCAAAAUAAAUAUAUACAGAAAUCUCUCCAGAACCUAGAAGUCACUAGUACAGAGCUAUCUAAUAAAGGGUACAAGUCCCAAAAGUGGACCACAACAAAACGUGUCUCAAAGGCAACAAGACUAGCUAAAACAAAAGAAGGAGACAAGACAAACCCAAAACGCCAAGUGCUCGCCUUCGUCUUCGAAUCACAGAUGCAAAAGAAGGCUGGACCUGCAUCACGAAGUAGAUGCAGAGUGUAGCAUGAGUACCAAAACAACAUGUACUCAGUAGGCACCACAGGCCUGCUGAGCAAAAAGGGUAAAAACAAUAAGAAAUGAUAGAAUCUAGACACAGAAAGGUCAAAACGGAUAUGAAAAGAGAGCACACGAGCAUACCAGGAAUAAACUAAGUACAACUAAACUAAACCUAACUGGACCCCCCAUAAGCCCAGAAGGUACACUCGUGCGCAAUUUUAAAUAAAAACCCUGAAACGGACCCCCCAUAAGCCCGACAGGUACACAGAAUAACUAAGUCUAAUGAGAAAGAAGAAAACCAGGCUCCCAGCCCCAAGUAACCAAGAUAAUCCAUCAAAUUCCACCCAGCCAGCAGUGCACUCUUAGCCCAGCUAGAAAAAGUGACCCAAGGGGGCACCCAACCAAACAGUCCACUCCCAGCCCAGCUAGAAAGAGGGACCCGUGAGUGAGGUAGAUAUCACGAGUCGUCCUACCAUGCAGUCAGCUUCCAACUCAGCUAGAAAGAGCGACUCGGGGACACCCAGCCAGCAGCACACUCCCAACCCAGCUAGAAAGAGAGGCCAGGGGGCGAUCGCCGAUAUCACCGAGUCUACCCAGCCAGCGAUACUCUCUCAGCCCAGCUAGAAAGAACGACCCUGGGGUGAUGGUAUCUCUAAUAGGAUCCAAUCCAACAACAGCCACCAUGGAGCGCAGUCCACUCUAAGAAAUCACAAAAAAGGCUCCAAGCCUAUACUAUCUCAAUCCCACACCUUUAGUGAUGCACCAAACCUUCGAGAACGCGUCGGAACUAGAGGGAGAAGAUACAGAAGUGUAACAAGCAACGAUAACGCCUAAUCUAAGGCUCAAACUAUCAGACUCAAGUCUGCUACUCCAGUCUACAAGGAGCUAAGUCAUCCGAACGACGUCGGCAGAAAUUCAAGGCUAUCCAGCCCACACGGGUCAUAAGUCUAAGGCAAUGCUAGCCUAACCUAGACUAAGGAUAUCAUGCUUACGGUUAAGGAUAAACAAGGCAUACAACACAUAGCAUAGAAGCAUACAAUAACAUUUAGCACAUAAACAUGCAACUCUACUAAACCGGUUAACAUGAUACUACACCCGAAAUAUGACCAAUCGAUCCUAACAUAAGGUAUCUAAUUAAAGUAAAGUAGAAAAUUGGUACCCACCCCCAUUCACUCCAAUCGACAUACUUUUGCACAAUUAAGCUCAAUCUAAAAGAAAGGAAGCCGUAGCCUACCUUAAGACCGACCGCGCGCGCUCCAAAUUACUUUGCCGGAGCUUUUCCUUCCCGAACGACCCUUGAACGUUGCCACUCUAUCGAAUAUAGGAUCACAACGUUAGUACGGUCGUUUAGACACCAAAAUCACAACAAACAAAGACGAGUAAAUUUUGGAGUCACAACGAAAAUCGUGGAACCCGCACCGAACUGUUCUAAUUUGACUCCGUCAAGAGACCCAAAACAGUACCCCGAACUUGUGUUUCAAAAUGGAACACAAUUUGAGGCUCAAAACACAACAAAAAUCAACAAGCAAGAAAAUCACACUUUAAUUAACUUAAAAGAAAACAACAACAGUCUAAACUCGGAAUUAACGAGAAUCAAAAAGUGCCCAGCACUCCUUGAACACUCUACGACAACGACAAUUCCCAACAUGUGGGACUUCGAAUCAUCCAAAACCGAGCUAAAAUGACUGAGAUAUGACCAAAACAAGAAUGCCAAAAAUAAAAGCUCAAAAAAGGGUACAACAGUCAGGUUUAUCGCGAAAUUACCUCAAACUACGUGCACCCAACAACUUUCGAACACUCUACAACGAAGCCACCGAAAAUAUGAAGCUCCCGCACUUCGAAUCGCCUAAUUCGGUUGAGAGAUGAGAAUGAGGGUUUUAAGUUUGGAAAGGGUUGCUUAUAUUUUCUGCAUUUAUAGUAGACCUCCUGGUCAUUUCUCAUAUAUACCUUUAAAAUACACUAUUAAAUAGUGCAUGGGGUAAAAGGUCCUUUCCAAAGUUCGGUAUUGUUACAGCAAUUUCGAUCAAAGUUCGAAUAUAUUUUAGACCUUUUUCCCUAUAUAAAAAGAAAUGAAAAUGGUCUAUAUAUUAAAAGAAAUAAAAAUAACAAACGUAGAUAGGAAAACAAUAAAGUUUCCAAUUAAAAAAGAUUAAAAUUAAUAGGGUAAACAUGUAAUUUAUCAUUUUAAUACAUGUAUAACUAAUACCCAUCUACCCUGCAUAACUUUAUACAUAGAUUCCCUCAUAAGUUAUGUUGGUGUUAAUUAUGUAGGACUACAAAAAAUGCAACCAAACACAGUAUAAAUUAAUACAUGAAUAACUUUUAUACAACAUUUAAAUUCUUACCAACCAAACAUGGUAUACGUUAUGUUGACUUUUAUACCUAAUACAAAUUACAAAACUUCUCUCAAACAUAGUAAAGCUAAUGUAACUUUUUAUACACGAAUAAGAUGUAUCUUAUACAGUAAUCAAACGACCCCUAAGUACACACUAUGUUGUAAUAUUAUGAAUCUUACUAGAUUUUGGUAUGUCCAGAUACAUGUAUCUCGGAAUAUAUAGACUCAAAAUUAGAUUAAUUUGUUCUAGAUAACUCUAUUCAAGUAGAUUCACAUGCAUUUGAGAUACAUAAACAAAUAUCGCUCCUUCGCCUUCCUCCCAUCUUGCUUGUCAUUCUCUUAUCUCGCUCGCGUAUUUGGUGUACGAGAUACAUGUUAAUUACACUAGAUCUUUUGCUAGUGUUAUUGAAACAACACCAUUGUUUGUCAUAUUUAAUUUAAAAAUCUUCUUAUUUUACUUGAUGUUAUGGAAUUAUAAGUUUAAAAAGAAAAAUAAAAUAAAAAUGGCUAACCCGCCCCAACCCUCGGCCCUUCUAUGAUUAGAUUGAGUUGAAUAUUUCCAGGCCCUUCAAAUGAAGGACUGAUCCGCCCUAGCCCUUUAAAUUCCUUGGCCCGUGAGACUUGGACCAGCCCUUUUUGAAAGCUCUAAUCAAAGGGAUAGCCUCAAUAGGCCUGAUAUGAAUUCAAAUUAAUCCGACAACUUGUCGAAAACCAAAACAAAAUUGAAAGCAAGAAAGUUUCUAGAAGCUCCCAAGCCUUUGUAUAUAAAGCACCAUAAAGCACCAAUCUUCAAUUGUUGUUCCAACUGAUAUUAAAACACAGCCACGAACCCUAGCUUUCCGUUUACUCUCUCAGAUCUGACCAAUCCGCAAUACCCAAUCUUAGCCAUGGGUUCCAGGAAGAACGAUUUCGGCGAUGGCGCUAGUCCUGGGUUCGUUUUUUUUCUCUCUUUUUGUUGGAUAAAUAAUGAACUCUUUAGGAAAAGAUGUAGGUGAAUUACCCAAAUUAUUGUUUUACAUACGAAGUUUGAUGUGUAUUGAUUAGGGAUUUUUGUUGUUUUGUUUUUUCUUGAACAGAAAAAUCUUUAUUGGAGGUCUAGCGAAAGAGACGACGCGAGGUUAGUGUUUUUGAACACUUGUUUUGAUGUAUUAACUGUUUCUUGCUAGUGGGGUUUUGAUUUGCUGACGAGGGUGUUAAUGAAAAUUGCGUAGAACAAUUUGUGAAGUACUUUGAGAAGUAUGGGGAGAUAAUAGACUCGGUGAUUAUGAAAGAUAGGCAAACAGGUAGACCCAGAGGUUUUGGGUUCAUCACUUUUGCGGAUCCAACAGUUGUAGACACUGUUAUAGCUGAAAACCAUAUUAUCAAUGACAAACAAGUGAGUAGUUUAGCUUCAGUUUUAUAUGGCUUUAUGUAGAUCCUUGAUGUUCAAUUGUAGUCGAAUUUGAGUUGAAAUAUUAGAGAACUAUGGUGAAUUUUGUUGACUACUUCCUAUGCUUGUGAGUUGUGAGUUCGUGAGCUUGGUUGACGGGUUUCAUUUAUUUAUCAGAGUAUUUUCUAAGCUUUUAGCUAAAAAUCAUAUUUAUUAUAAGAACCUGCAAAUUGUGGUAUUGAUUUUUCCAGGUUAAUUUAUUUGAAUUGAAUUGAAACAUUAUUGAUUACUUGCAAUAUGCACAGUUAGUCAUAUACUUGUGAGACUGUGAGCUUGGUUGGUGGGUCUCAUUUAUUUAUUAGAGUUUUGAGUAUUACAUGUUUUCUUUAGCUUCAGCUGAAAAUCAUCUUAUUAUAAGUCCUUGAAAGAUUGUGGCUUGCCAAUUGUGGUGUUCUCUUUUUCCAGGUUGAGAUUAAAAGAACCAUCCCAAAAGGAUCUGCUGAUUCAAAGGAUUUUAAAACAAGGAAGAUUUUUGUUGGUGGCAUUCCAACUACCAUGACCGAAGGUAACAUUGUGCCAUUUUGUUCUAUACUAACUAGUUCUGUUGUCUGACAGUUGCAGUAGUAUUCUUUAAGCUUGAAGUAUUUAAACUGUUGUCUCUUGUACAUUAAUUGUCAGAUGAAUUCAAGAACUUUUUCUCUAAGUUUGGGAAAGUAACAGAGUAUGAGAUCAUACGAGAUCACGUGUCCAAGCGUUCUAGAGGCUUUGGAUUUAUUGUGUUUGACAAUGAAGAAGUAGUUGAUAAUUUGCUGGCUGAGGGAAAUAGGAUGGACAUGAUGGGUACUCAGGUAAGUUUUGUAGGAUAUUUCUUCAUGAUCUCAAAUGUUCUGGGACAUGACUGUCGUGCGUACAUAGUGGAUCCUCAGGAUUGUGCUUUCAUAGCAUACCCCAGCCUAAUUUUCUCCUUUUAACAUAUACCUAUAUGCCAUAAGGAGCUGCUGCAUAUGUGGUAGUUUAAUGUAAUGCAAGGAGUAUAGGUUUGUAGGUUUCUCCAUUGAGUAUGCAUCUUUUAGUGCUCAGCUGUCAGGCUAUUAUGCAGGUGGAACUUCUAGGUUAACUUGCUUCUUUGUUGUAGGUUGAGAUCAAGAAGGCAGAACCAAAGAAACCCUCAAACCCAGCUUCUGCUCCUGCAUAUGGUAGUAAUUCUAGGGGGCGUGGAUAUGGUGAUAGUUAUGGAGGAUUUGCCGAUUCAUAUAGCGGUUAUGACAGUGGAGGUUUUGGCCCUGCUUCUUAUAGGUCAUUUGGAUCUAGGUAUGGUGACUAUGGAUAUGGUGGUAGAUAUGGAGACUUUGGCAGUAGUGAAUUUGGUGGUUACCGUGGAGACCCCUCACUUGGUUAUUCCAGUCGUUUUGGCUCGUAUGCUGGUGGUUAUGGUGGGGGAUACAGUAGCAGUGGGCUAGGAGCAUAUGGCCGUGGAGGUGGUUAUGGUGGCUAUGGGGGAGCUGGCCCUGGUGCUGGUUAUGAAUCUGGCCCUGGUGCUGCUUACGAAUCUGGCACUGGUGCUGGUUAUGGUGGAUCAGGAGGUUUAUAUGGAAGUAGGGGAGGGUAUAGUGGCAGUGGCCGUUACCAUCCUUACUCCAGGUAGAUUUUCCUAAGCUUUAUAGGAGUUGCAUUCAGGUAUCUUGGUUACUGCAUCCUCAGGCAAGGGUCGAGUAGAUAUCUUGGAUCACUAGCAAGGAGACACCACCUAGAAGAUUUGGAGAGCCCUAGUUUGCUACUUCUUAUUAUGACUGUGCGACCAGAGAACCAUAUCUAGAUAGAUAUGAUAUAGCUUGUGCUUUGUCUUAGUUUAGACAUUUUCUGUUUAUGAACUAUGGAUUAGCUAGAACCUUCUUUCGGAGUAUUUUUGUGUGUUUUGUAUGUUUGGUUUCAUAGAUACAUAUGAUGCAGGCUCGUAUUGUUCUAUGCUUAGUAAGUACUCUACUUCUCAGGUAUCACUCUAUGAUAAGUUCACGAGCUUUUUACUUUUAAGA